CGACCGGCCGGGGCGGGGGGUGCGGGGUAAGAGCAGGUUUUAGGGAAGAAACGCCUGUGGACAGGGAAAAUCGUUGACUUGGGUCCAGCAAUGCCGAAUGUGUUGGGGUGUGAGCAGCCAAAGGCAACAGGCUCCAGCCCCACCGACCGGCGCUGGGGGCACCUGGUGCAGCCCGUGGGGUGAGAAUUGCCACGAGAGGAAAUACUUCAGAGGGGCUUCCCUCCAGAUAAGGCCUGAAGAUGCCAGGAGGUUUCAGCCGGGAGGAAAGGAGCUGUGGAAGAAAAGCAGCCUAAAAACAGCCAGUGGGGAUCAUCAGGUUUUCCAGCCAAGAAGAACAAGGAGAGAGAUGAGGGAAUCGGGUUCCAAUUCCUAAUGCUUUGGUGGGUGCAGGAAUGAUUUCUGUGUGUUUUCCAGUCCCUUUGGAUUCCUGAGAUGAUUUUAAAAUGAUGGCUUUAGCAAUCAACUAAAUCGCAGAUGUUGUUUUUGAGAGGAAAUGAUGCCAAAGAAAUGCAGAGUUUUGGGUCA
This is a long non-coding RNA of Manacus vitellinus (golden-collared manakin), 525 nucleotides long. RefSeq lists it as uncharacterized. The record is from RefSeq and is a predicted model, not a curated record. The transcript has 3 exons. Lineage: Eukaryota; Metazoa; Chordata; Aves; Passeriformes; Pipridae.